This 253-nucleotide ribosomal RNA is filed under the name uncultured bacterium. RNAcentral's name for it is "partial 16S ribosomal RNA". It matches the Rfam family "Bacterial small subunit ribosomal RNA", at positions 524 to 776 of the family's 1533-position model. The record is from RNAcentral.
UACAGAGGGUGCAAGCGUUACUCGGAAUUACUGGGCGUAAAGCGCACGUAGGUGGCUGGGUAAGUUGGAUGUGAAAUCCCCGGGCUUAACUUGGGAAUUGCAUUCAAGACUGCCUUGCUAGAGUGUGGAAGAGGGAAGCGGAAUUCCAGGUGUAGCGGUGAAGUGCGUAGAUAUCUGGAGGAACAUCAGUGGCGAAGGCGGCUUCCUGGUCCAACACUGACACUGAGGUGCGAAAGCGUGGGGAGCAAACAGG